AAGCUCUUUAAGCUUUUCCAGUGAUUUAAGAUGAUACCGGGGAAGGUUUUCCGGUUUAUCCCGGAGGGCUUGUAGCUCAGUUGGUUAGAGCGCGCGCUUGAUAAGCGUGAGGUCGGAGGUUCAAGUCCUCCCAGGCCCACCAAUUUAUGCUCGUUUUUUCUUAUUCUUGAGAGUUAUGGAUCUUAAGCCUAUGAAAGCCUCUUUAAUCUUUAGUUUGUUGCAAAAGAUUUUAUUUUAUCCUUCAAAAAUUGUUUGUUGAAUUUAUCUCAUUACGUUUGUCAAACAGGACUUCAAGUUCCCUUCAAGGGGAGAUAAAUUUAAAGGAUAAGAAUCAAAAAAUGAUGCAAAUUAAUACAAGUCAAUACGAGUCAAAAUGGUAUCUCUCAAAAGAGGAUAACUCAUUCAAGUUGAUGAAUUUUCUUGAGGUUGAUUUGAGAGGCAUUCUUUAGGGGCCGUAGCUCAGCUGGGAGAGCACCUGCUUUGCAAGCAGGGGGU
RNAcentral lists this unclassified non-coding RNA (495 nucleotides) under uncultured Bartonella sp. Its description in RNAcentral is "partial 16S-23S ribosomal RNA intergenic spacer". The stretch from base 66 to 139 matches the Rfam family "tRNA". Lineage: Bacteria; Pseudomonadati; Pseudomonadota; Alphaproteobacteria; Hyphomicrobiales; Bartonellaceae. The record is from RNAcentral.